This 465-nucleotide ribosomal RNA is filed under the name uncultured organism. Its description in RNAcentral is "partial 16S ribosomal RNA". It matches the Rfam family "Bacterial small subunit ribosomal RNA", at positions 335 to 797 of the family's 1533-position model. The record is from RNAcentral.
ACUCCUGCGGGAGGCAGCAGUGAGGAAUAUUGGACAAUGGGUGGAAGCCUGAUCCAGCCAUCCCGCGUGCAGGAAGACGGCCCUAUGGGUUGUAAACUGCUUUUAUCUGGGGAUAAACCUACUUACGUGUAAGUAGCUGAAGGUACCAGAAGAAUAAGCACCGGCUAACUCCGUGCCAGCAGCCGCGGUAAUACGGAGGGUGCAAGCGUUAUCCGGAUUUAUUGGGUUUAAAGGGUCCGUAGGCGGACUGAUAAGUCAGUGGUGAAAUCCGACAGCUUAACUGUCGAACUGCCAUUGAUACUGUUAGUCUUGAGUAAGGUUGAAGUGGCUGGAAUAAGUAGUGUAGCGGUGAAAUGCAUAGAUAUUACUUAGAACACCAAUUGCGAAGGCAGGUCACUAAGUCUUAACUGACGCUGAUGGACGAAAGCGUGGGGAGCGAACAGGAUUAGAAACCCCGGUAGUCCC